CAGUAGCCGCGGGAAUACGUAGGUGGCAAGCGUUGUCCGGAAUUAUUGGGCGUAAAGGGCUCGCAGGCGGUUUCUUAAGUCUGAUGUGAAAGCCCCCGGCUCAACCGGGGAGGGUCAUUGGAAACUGGGAAACUUGAGUGCAGAAGAGGAGAGUGGAAUUCCACGUGUAGCGGUGAAAUGCGUAGAGAUGUGGAGGAACACCAGUGGCGAAGGCGACACUCUGGUCUGUAACUGACGCUGAGGAGCGAAAGCGUGGGGAGCGAACAGGAUUAGAUACCCCAGUAGUCCCUGUCUCUUAUAC
This 301-nucleotide ribosomal RNA is filed under the name uncultured bacterium. Its description in RNAcentral is "partial 16S ribosomal RNA". It matches the Rfam family "Bacterial small subunit ribosomal RNA", at positions 509 to 807 of the family's 1533-position model. The record is from RNAcentral.